CGUCACACCAUGGGAGUGGGUUGCAAAAGAAGUAGGUAGCUUAACCUUCGGGAGGGCGCUUACCACUUUGUGAUUCAUGACUGGGGUGAAGUCGUAACAAGGUAACCGUAGGGGAACCUGCGGUUGGAUCACCUCCUUACCUUAAAGAA
This 149-nucleotide ribosomal RNA is filed under the name Escherichia coli. RNAcentral's name for it is "partial 16S ribosomal RNA". It matches the Rfam family "Bacterial small subunit ribosomal RNA", at positions 1395 to 1533 of the family's 1533-position model. Lineage: Bacteria; Pseudomonadati; Pseudomonadota; Gammaproteobacteria; Enterobacterales; Enterobacteriaceae. The record is from RNAcentral. RNAcentral also lists the same sequence under 5 other names.